This is a long non-coding RNA of Astatotilapia calliptera (eastern happy), 1051 nucleotides long. NCBI's taxonomy places the organism in Eukaryota, Metazoa, Chordata, Actinopteri, Cichliformes, Cichlidae. The record is from Ensembl.
GAGAGAGAGAGAGCGAGAGAGAGAGUGAGUGUGUGUGUGUGUGUGUGUGUGUGUGUGUGUGUGAGUCUACCUGCCUAAUACAUUAUAAACAUAUAAUAUCCAACGUCUAUCUUAUACUGUAUCUAAACAUUUAUCUAAAAAUAUAUAUAUAAUAAUUGUGACAAUAUUUCCUGUGUUGUAGGCAAUACAUUGUUGGACGAAGGAAUAUUAGACAGGGAAGAAGGAGACUCAAGAAUGAAAUUAAAGAGUUAAAGGCCUUGUUGGAAAAGGAAAAGAGAAAAAAAGAAAAAUACAAGAAGAGGUGCCAGCGUUUGGGUGGGGAAAAAAAAUCCCCACGUUCUAAAGUGGAUGCACUGCUGCGUCAUGAAACAGUUAGCAACACAAUUAGGAAAAGACUAUUACUGCAGGAAUCAAUCAUUGAGGAAAUCAGGAAUAAAUACAAAAACACCAAAAAGGAACGAGAGAGGCAAAUUAUUACAAAAACGACAAUAGGAAAAAUUAUAAAGAAAUACAGGCUACAGAGGGCUGCACAGACAGCUCUAGGCUUUUCAAAAAAGCGUGGUCAAAGACAAGAUGGAGGGCUCAUAACCUUUGAAAGAAAGGAAAGCAAUAGAUUACCAGUUGAUUGCAAGCAGAAAAUAAAGGCCUUCUUCUUAAGAGAUGACGUCAGUCGGAUGACAACAGGACGAAAGCAAACUAACUCAAAAGAAAAUAAAAAAACAGAAACGUUUGCUAACUGAUUCACUGAAGAAUCUGCACCAUAAGUUUCUUUCAGAAACUGAGCAUCAGGUCUCAUAUUCUUGUUUCUGCACCUUAAGACCAUUUUGGGUUGUGGUGCCCACAGAAGCUGAUCGUGAAACCUGUCAGUGCAGGACACAUGAGAACUUACAGUUCAUGGCCAAUGCCCUGUAUGUCCAAGGUCUGUCAGCAACAAAACACAUUGAAGAGAUGGUAGAUGCAACAAUGUGUGAUGCUAAAUCCAAAGUCUGUGCAUAUGGUGAGUGCAAAGACUGUUUCAGUACAACACACACACACACUCUUGAGACCUCCU